Molecule: small nuclear RNA, 104 nt
Organism: Fukomys damarensis (Damara mole-rat)
Lineage: Eukaryota; Metazoa; Chordata; Mammalia; Rodentia; Bathyergidae
Source: Ensembl
GUGCUCGCCUUGGCAGUACAUAUAUUAAAAUUGGAAUGAUACAGAGAUUAGCAUGGCCCAUGCGCAAGGAUGACACACAAAUUUGGGAAUCAUUUCAUAUUUAA